This 121-nucleotide non-coding RNA is filed under the name unclassified sequences. RNAcentral describes it as "drum RNA". It matches the Rfam family "drum RNA". Rfam says of the family: Firmicutes, Bacteroidetes (1 example), Proteobacteria (2 examples), Spirochaetes (2 examples). The record is from Rfam by way of RNAcentral.
UGCCUAUGAAGCGGCUACUAUGUUGGUGUGUGGCUGUGGAGGUGCUAUUAGGGUUGUGUGGUGAAUAUACUCCAAGUUCCAACUUAGGCUUAAUUGAAAGCUGAAAAUAAAAACACUCAAA